Molecule: long non-coding RNA, 285 nt
Organism: Helianthus annuus (common sunflower)
Lineage: Eukaryota; Viridiplantae; Streptophyta; Magnoliopsida; Asterales; Asteraceae
Exons: 2
Source: RefSeq, a predicted model, not a curated record
UUAAGUGUUAAUGAUAUUAAUCAUGUACCUGGAAAACGAAGAUUUACGCAGGUACAUUAUUGAAGACUCACAAGGGAAUGGAUACGCUAAUGAUAUGCUUAAAGUUGUACGAAUCACGGGUGGUUAUCACGAGGAAUAGAGCUCGAAGAGCGAGUCACAAGCUAGAUUGUACGGGAAUAACUGAAUAUGUAUUAUUAGUAAUCAGGGCUUAUGCUUUAUUUUUUUGUAAAAGAUACAUAUUAAAACGUACUUUCAAGUAAGUCAUGACGUUAAUAAUGAAAGAAA